This 334-nucleotide unclassified non-coding RNA is filed under the name soil metagenome. Its description in RNAcentral is "partial contains 5.8S ribosomal RNA, internal transcribed spacer 2, and large subunit ribosomal RNA". The stretch from base 1 to 120 matches the Rfam family "5.8S ribosomal RNA", at positions 35 to 154 of the family's 154-position model. The record is from RNAcentral.
GAUGAAGAACGCAGCGAAAUGCGAUAAGUAGUGUGAAUUGCAGAAUUCAGUGAAUCAUCGAAUCUUUGAACGCACAUUGCGCCCUGUGGUAUUCCGCAGGGCAUGCCUGUUCGAGCGUCAUUGACACCAUCAAGCUCUGCUUGGUCUUGGGCGUUUGUGCCUGCCGUUGCGCAGGGACUCGCCUCAAACUCAUUGGCAGCCUGCCUUUGCCGGUCUUUGCACAGCACAGUCGUGCCAAAGCCGCGGUGAGCAGGCGCUCCACAAGCCCUUUUCAGCUUGACCUCGGAUCAGGUAGGAAUACCCGCUGAACUUAAGCAUAUCAAUAAGCGGAGGA